This 148-nucleotide non-coding RNA is filed under the name Pan troglodytes (chimpanzee). Lineage: Eukaryota; Metazoa; Chordata; Mammalia; Primates; Hominidae. The record is from Rfam by way of RNAcentral.
GCCAGGUGUGGUGGCGCACACCUGCAGUCCCAGCUACUCGGGAGGCUGAGGCAGGAGAAUCGCUUGAACCUGGGAGGUGGAGGUUGCAGUGAGCCGAGAUUGUGCCACUGCACUCCAGCCUGGGUGACAGAGUGAGACUCUGUCUCAA